CCCCUCCAAAUCCUAUUAUUUACCCGGUGAUUGUUUGUUUGGUUUUAGGUUGGGGUGACCGCGGAGUAUAAGAUAUCCUCCAUGAAAAAAAGCUAACUGCCCUUAUUAGAGAAAGACACUUCCAAAAAAUAAUAAAUUAAUUUUAAAUGAUCCGACAUUCGAUCAACGAACCAAGUUACCCUGGGGAUAACAGCGCAAUCCGUCCCGAGAGCCCCUAUCGACAGGCGGGUUUACGACCUCGAUGUUGGAUCAGGGUAUCCCAGUGGUGCAGCAGCUACUAAAGGUUCGUUUGUUCAACGAUUAAAACCCU
Molecule: ribosomal RNA, 310 nt
Filed under: Boophis madagascariensis (Madagascar bright-eyed frog)
Lineage: Eukaryota; Metazoa; Chordata; Amphibia; Anura; Mantellidae
Description: partial 16S ribosomal RNA
Rfam family: Bacterial large subunit ribosomal RNA
Source: RNAcentral